Molecule: ribosomal RNA, 778 nt
Filed under: Amanita claristriata
Lineage: Eukaryota; Fungi; Basidiomycota; Agaricomycetes; Agaricales; Amanitaceae
Description: Amanita sp. YSL-2023b partial large subunit ribosomal RNA
Rfam family: Eukaryotic large subunit ribosomal RNA
Source: RNAcentral
AAGUGCUGCCUGUGCUGGACCAUGUAUAAGUCUCCUGGAAUGGAGUGUCACAGAGGGUGAGAAUCCCGUCUUUGACAUGGACUGCCAGUGCAUUGUGGUGUGCUCUCAAAGAGUCGAGUUGUUUGGGAAUGCAGCUCUAAAUGGGUGGUAAAUUCCAUCUAAGGCUAAAUAUUGGCGAGAGACCGAUAGUGAACAAGUACCGUGAGGGAAAGAUGAAAAGAACUUUGGAAAGAGAGUUAAACAGUACGUGAAAUUGUUGAAAGGGAAACAUUUGAAGUCAGUUGUGUUAGCUUGGGGAUCAAUCCAGCUUUUCUGCUUGGGUGUAUUUCCUGGUUGACAGGCCAACAUCAGUUUUGACCAUUAGAAAAAAACCAAGGAAAUGUGGCACCUCUGGGUGUGUUAUAGUCCUUGGUUGUAUGUAGUGGUUGGGACUGAGGCAAUGCAGCACACCACAAGGCUGGGUUUUGCCACAUUUGUGCUUAGGAUGUUGGCAUAAUGGCUUUAAGUGACCCGUCUUGAAACACGGACCAAGGAGUCUAACAUGCCUGCAAGUGUUUGGGUGGAAAACCCAUGCGCGUAAUGAAAGUGAAAGUUGAGAUCCCUGUCAUGGGGAGCAUUGACACCCAGACCAGAACUUUUGGGACGGAUCUGUGGUAGAGCAUGCAUGUUGGGACCCGAAAGAUGGUGAACUAUGCCUGAAUAGGGUGAAGCCAGAGGAAACUCUGGUGGAGGCUCGUAGCGAUUCUGACGUGCAAAUCGAUCGUCGAAUUUGGGUAUA